RNAcentral lists this ribosomal RNA (332 nucleotides) under uncultured eukaryote. Its description in RNAcentral is "partial 18S ribosomal RNA". It matches the Rfam family "Eukaryotic small subunit ribosomal RNA", at positions 1470 to 1796 of the family's 1831-position model. The record is from RNAcentral.
CCCUUAGAUGUUCUGGGCCGCACGCGCGCUACACUGAUGCAUUCAUCAAGUUUACAACCUUGUCUCGAGAGAACUGGGUAAUCUUUGAAAGUGCAUCGUGCUGGGGAUAGAUUAUUGUAAUUUUUAAUCUUCAACGAGGAAUUCCUAGUAAACGCACGUCAUCAGCGUGCAUUGAUUACGUCCCUGCCCUUUGUACACACCGCCCGUCGCUACUACCGAUUGAAUGGCUUAGUGAGUUUCACGGAUUGUCGCGCUUAGUUGGGUUUACCCUUCUGACGCGUGAUGAGAAGUGAUGCUAACUUGACUAUUUAGAGGAAGUAAAAGUCGUAACA